Molecule: ribosomal RNA, 506 nt
Filed under: uncultured bacterium
Lineage: Bacteria
Description: partial 16S ribosomal RNA
Rfam family: Bacterial small subunit ribosomal RNA
Source: RNAcentral
AUUGAACGCUGGCGGCAGGCCUAACACAUGCAAGUCGGACGGUAGCACAGAGGAGCUUGCUCCUCGGGUGACGAGUGGCGGACGGGUGAGUAAUGUCUGGGGAUCUGCCCGAUAGAGGGGGAUAACCACUGGAAACGGUGGCUAAUACCGCAUAACGUCGCAAGACCAAAGAGGGGGACCUCCGGGCCUCCCACUAUCGGAUGAACCCAGAUGGGAUUAGCUAGUAGGCGGGGUAACGGACCACCUAGGCGACGAUCCCUAGCUGGUCUGAGAGGAUGACCAGCCACACUGGAACUGAGACACGGUCCAGACUCCUACGGGAGGCAGCAGUGGGGAAUAUUGCACAAUGGGCGCAAGCCUGAUGCAGCCAUGCCGCGUGUAUGAAGAAGGCCUUCGGGUUGUAAAGUACUUUCAGCGGGGAGGAAGGCGAUGUGGUUAAUAACCGCGUCGAUUGACGGUACCACAGGAGGAAGCCCCGGCUAACUACGUGCCAGCCGCCGCCGUAA